RNAcentral lists this ribosomal RNA (249 nucleotides) under uncultured bacterium. Its description in RNAcentral is "partial 16S ribosomal RNA". It matches the Rfam family "Bacterial small subunit ribosomal RNA", at positions 84 to 334 of the family's 1533-position model. The record is from RNAcentral.
UUUGAUGGCGACCGGCGCACGGGUGAGUAACACGUAUCCAACCUGCCGAUGACUCGGGGAUAGCCUUUCGAAAGAAAGAUUAAUACCCGAUGGCAUAGUUCUUCCGCAUGGUAGAACUAUUAAAGAAUUUCGGUCAUCGAUGGGGAUGCGUUCCAUUAGGUUGUUGGCGGGGUAACGGCCCACCAAGCCUUCGAUGGAUAGGGGUUCUGAGAGGAAGGUCCCCCACAUUGGAACUGGGACACGGUCCAA